Molecule: long non-coding RNA, 886 nt
Organism: Cercocebus atys (sooty mangabey)
Lineage: Eukaryota; Metazoa; Chordata; Mammalia; Primates; Cercopithecidae
Exons: 3
Source: RefSeq, a predicted model, not a curated record
UACAAGCUUGAGCCACCGCGCCCGGCCCUAAAAAUUACUCUUAAGCAUACCAUUUGUUAAAUGCUUAUCAUAUCCUAGGAGUUUUUUAAGUCCUUCGAAUACAUUAUCUUAUUUCUCAGACCCUGUGAGGAAUUUGUAUUUCCAUUUUACAAAUGAGCAAACUGAGACAUAGUGGAAAAAGAAUUAAGCAACUUACCCAAAUCAUGUAUCUAGUAAGUGGCAGAGCUAGGAUUUAAAGACAGAUCUGUCUGACCCCAAAGCCUGUUCCCUUAAAAAUUAUGUGGCAUAGCCUCUUCAGAUAAACAGAAAAACAAACACAAUGAGACACUUUACAUAUGUAAUCUCAUUCUUUAAUAAUCAUAUAAGGAGAUGUUGUUAUGCCCAUUUUACAGGUGAGGAAAGAGACUCAGAAAGGUUAAGCAAUUUUCCCCAAAGUCGCCUCCCUAUUAAAUGAUGGACAGCGUUUGAACUCCAGCUUGUGUGACGCCAAGCUCAUUGCACAAUUCCAUUUCACCUUUCUGGAUCUCCACCUCAUUUGGCUUCAUUAUUUUCCCCAGUCAGGCGCUCACAGUUCAUGAACUAGUGGACACUUGGUGCUUGUGAAAACCUUGUUGAAUGACUGCAUGAAUUGCACACAUCAGCGCAUACCCUGAUGGCAGACAGGAAUAGCUGCUGCACCAGCUGGUCACAGGGGUAUUCAUAAAGCAGACAUUUGAAGCUGUUGGAAGGGAACCGAAGGUUAUCUGGUCCUUCAGGAGGCAUCCAGAAGAAGGCGUUAUCAUAGGAGAUGACAGCUCAUGCCUGCCAUUGCCCCGAAGGCCUCCUAGGGGGCCAAGAUGUGGAGGCGGAAGGCACUCUACCCUGAGUGGGCCUAGGCUAAUGUGUG